CAGGCUGGUCUUCAAAUUCCUGACCUCAGGUGAUCCACCCACCUCGGCCUCCCAAAGUGCUGGGAUGAGCCACCAUGUCCAGCCUCUUUUUACUUUAUAAUUGGAUUUUUAUGCUUUUGUCUUAUAGUAACUUAAGAUAUGGAACUGUAACCGUAACAGUCCAUUGCCCAUUGUGCGUGACAAGUCAGUAUGCAAGACCCUGGGCUGCAGCAAAGAAAGAUGUUUAAUUGGAAGGCCACCGAAUGAGGAGACUAGAGGAAACUUCAAAUCUGUCUCCCUGAGGGUUUAGGAAGUGGGCCAAGAUUACAGACAAGGGAAGUCCUGGCUGCAUUGAUGGAGAUUCUCCAUAGAUGCAAAUUUCUUCCACAAAAGAAAGCUUUGCAGCACCACUUCUGUUUGCUGGCCCUCUGACAGCCAUCUCAAAAUAUGUCAAAUAAAUGUAAUUUGAGGGUCUUGCUUUGUCACCCAGGCUGAAGUGGAAUGGCACAGUCAUGGCCCACUGCAGCCUUGAUCUCCCAGGCUCAAGCGAUCUGCCUGCCUCGGCCUCCCAAAGUGCUGGGAUUACAGGCGAGAGCCACUGCACCCAGCCAGUUCUGUGUUCUUGACUGUUAAUGAAAGAGGAGAGGACAUGGGAAGAUUUGAAACCAAGCUAUCUCUCUGCUUUGGCAGAUAAACAACAUUUAAAUUCUAAAAACUGCAGCCUUGGUAUAAGCAAACUGGAAGUUGGCAUAAUGGAGUAUCGUCCCUCACUUUGUUCUCACCAUAGAUACAGCAUAUACAGGAGCAAUUGGAAAAUCAAUAGGUUCUACAGCAGCGUCAGCAAAUGCUGUUUUAAAAAAAAGGGGGAGGAACAGGGUCUCGCUUGCUGUGUUGCCUACGCUGGUCUCAAACUCCUGGGAUCCUCCUGCCUUGACCUUCCAAAGUGCUGAAUUACGGGCAUGAUACCCAGCCUACGCUAUCAUUUUGACCAUACUUCAGAUGGACUUAGCAAAUCCAGACACUCUUGAGCGUGUGAGAAAACAUAGUAACUUAUGAGAAAGAAUCUCAUUUCUAAAGCAUGAAUAUGCCUAGAUUUUUGUGUCUUUUAGCCCUAGGUAUUAUUCUGAUUAAUAAAUGGAAAGGAUGGUGUUUCUUACCUGAUGUCCACACAUAAGACUUUGAGAGGCCAUCAUGAUGGCUUUCAUUCCUGAAGCACAAACUUUGUUUAUGGUGGUACAUGGAGUAGAAAUAGGUAAGCCUAAAACCAAUAAGUCACUUUUGAAAAACAGAUACUCAAACACAACUGCAGAACUUAAUAGAGCAUGUUACUAUAAACUACAACAUUUCUUCCGCCAAUAUAACUACAAAUUAUAUAAUGCAUUUAAUAUUUAAGCUUAAAUAACCUUCAUUUUGCCAUUUUAUACUUUUUUUUUUGA
This is a long non-coding RNA of Piliocolobus tephrosceles (Ugandan red Colobus), 1415 nucleotides long. RefSeq lists it as uncharacterized. Lineage: Eukaryota; Metazoa; Chordata; Mammalia; Primates; Cercopithecidae. The transcript has 5 exons. The record is from RefSeq and is a predicted model, not a curated record.